Long non-coding RNA from Esox lucius (northern pike), 928 nucleotides. NCBI's taxonomy places the organism in Eukaryota, Metazoa, Chordata, Actinopteri, Esociformes, Esocidae. The record is from Ensembl.
GGAAAAUGUUUGCUUAUAUGAAUUUCAGCGUUUAAAAAACAAUCCGGUUUACUUCUGGUGAUGAACGACAUGUCCAUUUUGAUUUUGCAAACGUGUUAAGAUUGAUAAGAUAGCAUUAGCUUAGUUGCUAAUGGUCGCUAGAUAACAUCCCUGAAAAUGAGCUUUCUAAACUCCCCUGUUAAAGAAGAGGUAUGCGGGACGGAAAGAGAAAAGAAGAGGAUAUUACUGUGAAAUUAGAGUAACAUGCUUUCAGAAUAAAAGAGGAGGAAGAAGAGGCCUCGGUCAGUGUCAUAAAAGACACUGGAGAGGGUGUUACGCUGAAAGAAGAGAAUGAACCUUCUGAAGUGAAGGAGGAGAUUCAAAUUAAAAAGGACGAGGAGGCCCUCAAAGUGAAAGAAGAAUUGGAACCUUUUGGAAUUAAAGAGGAAGAGAAGGCUGUCUCAAUAAAUAAGGACAACGUUUUAUUGCGGAAAGAGGAGACAGAUCUGAAUCUAAAGACAUCUGGUGAGAGCCAAAAUUCAUGGAGAGAGGAAAGUAAAUGAUGACACCUUCAAAGAAAAGGAAAGAAUGGUUGAACCAACUCAUCCCCAUUCUCAGCCUCCAGGUCCAACCAGCUCAUCCCCAUCCUCAGCCUCCAGGUCCAACCAACUCAUCCCCAUCCUCAGCCUCCAGGUCCAACCAACUCAUCCCCAUCCUCAGCCUCCAGGUCCAACCAACUCAUCCCCAUCCUCAGCCUCCAGGUCCAACCAACUCAUCCCCAUCCUCAGCCUUCAGUUUAUUUAUAUAGUACAAUUCAUACACAGAAGCAAUUCAGUGUGCUUUAUAAAGAAAAUAAAAAUAUAAAAAUGCAAUAGAAUUUAAACAGUCAGAUUGUUACAAUUCUCUAUCUCAGCUGUCUCCAGGGGGACUGCGUGAACUUCAACACCCG